RNAcentral lists this ribosomal RNA (642 nucleotides) under Histoplasma capsulatum var. capsulatum. RNAcentral describes it as "eukaryotic LSU rRNA". It matches the Rfam family "Eukaryotic large subunit ribosomal RNA", at positions 1 to 651 of the family's 3401-position model. The record is from RNAcentral. Lineage: Eukaryota; Fungi; Ascomycota; Eurotiomycetes; Onygenales; Ajellomycetaceae.
AGGUUGACCUCGGAUCAGGUAGGGAUACCCGCUGAACUUAAGCAUAUCAAUAAGCGGAGGAAAAGAAACCAACAGGGAUUGCCUCAGUAACGGCGAGUGAAGCGGCAAGAGCUCAAAUUUGAAAUCCGGCCCCUCUGGGGGCCUGAGUUGUAAUUUGCAGAGGAUGCUUCGGGCGCGACCGCGGUCCAAGUCCCCUGGAACGGGGCGUCGUAGAGGGUGAGAAUCCCGUCUCCGGCCGGCCGGUCUCGCCCGUGUGAAGCUCCUUCGACGAGUCGAGUUGUUUGGGAAUGCAGCUCCAAAUGGGUGGUAAAUUUCAUCUAAAGCUAAAUACUGGUCGGAGACCGAUAGCGCACAAGUAGAGUGAUCGAAAGAUGAAAAGCACUUUGAAAAGAGAGUUAAACAGCAUGUGAAAUUGUUGAAAGGGAAGCGCUUGCGACCAGAGUCGGCCGCGGGGGUUCAGCGGGCAUUCGUUGCCUGUGCAAUCCCCCGCGGCCGGGCCAGCGUCGGUUUCGACGGCCGGUCAAAGGCCCCCGGAAUGUGUCGCCUCUCGGGGCGUCUUAUAGCCGGGGGUGCAAUGCGGCCAGUCGGGACCGAGGAACGCGCUCCGGCACGGACGCUGGCUUAAUGGUCGUCAGCGACCCG